This is a long non-coding RNA of Hippopotamus amphibius kiboko, 1705 nucleotides long. RefSeq lists it as uncharacterized. NCBI's taxonomy places the organism in Eukaryota, Metazoa, Chordata, Mammalia, Artiodactyla, Hippopotamidae. The transcript has 3 exons. The record is from RefSeq and is a predicted model, not a curated record.
GUUUCCAUAGAGAGGCCUCUCCGGUGUCACAUGAUGGACAUGAUAUAAUGAAACAACAUUGUGGAGAGGAAAGCAUUAGGGGAGCCCACGGCUACAAAAACAAGUGAGUGAGAAGAGGUGGGAGGAAGAGAAACUACGCCACCUCCCCUGCAGCCGAGCCGCACGCAGCAGCAGCCCGCGGGAAGUGGGCGACGCCGGGGGGAAGGGAGACCUGGUCCCCAGCCCCGGCUGGGGGACCCCGCCGCCCACCGCCAAGAGAAUAACUUUUAGCCGGCAGCCUCGGCCAGCAGUGCACCUGUCUCCGGAGCCUCCAUCGCUCCUCGUGAUGAUCAAAGGGGAAUUCUAGAAGAAUAUGCUCUACAAAUAUACAUGCGCAUCAUUUUCCCCCUUGCGUCUCGCUCUGGAGGAAGGACACAGAAAGGGAUUCAAGCAGCAGCGUGUGUUCAGCCCCAAGCACCAGCAAGCCUCCCUGGAAUGGAUCUUCUGCUCAGUUCUUGGAUUGAGGGAUGAAGUAUGAUUUUACUUCACUUGUUUUCAGGGACUGUUAACUGGUGAAGAGAGUUUGGGAUAUUUUACCAUUUGGAGUUUCUCUGCCUCGCCGAUGAUCUAAGUUCAAACCUGCCAGCUUAUGGGAUAGAAAACGUGCCAUAGCAGCCGAGUAAGUAGCUGCUGCAGUGUGUUUUGAUUUACUGCUUUAAAAAAAAAGAAAAAGGGAAGAUUUUAUAACUUGGAAGUUUUAAGCUAUUGGAUAUUUUAACUGGGUUCUUUAAAUUUUGUUGUUGAAUAAUGAUGGCAAUUGUUAUAAUUCCAAUAAGUGAAUAUUUUUAGAUAAUGGGAUUCUGGAAGAAAUUAAUCGCCUGAUGAUUAAAAAAAAGUUAAUGAAAACAUUUUCCAUGAAUAUUAGUUUAGCUGCUUUUAAGAAACAUGUUGUGGACCUAAAUGAAUAUAUUAAAAAUUUAAGAGCAGUCUCCUUAGUGCUUUAUUUCACUUUUAUAUUAUGAAUGCAAAAAUAUUGGUAGGAAAACUGUUAAGAAGUUUUUAAAUGGAACUAUAUCUAUGUAAAAAUUGUACUUUAACACGGAAUGUAUUUUGGCUAACUUGAAAUAAAUACUGGUUUGUUUCUUGGAAACAGAAUUUUAAAAGUUUUCUAUUUGAAAAUAAUAGUUCUGGGGCUUCCUAGGUGGCGCAGUAGUUAAGAAUCCGCCUGCCAAUGCAGAGGACACGGGUUCAAUCCCUGCUCCAGGAAGAUCCCACGUGCCGCAGAGCAACUAAGCCCAUGUGCCCAAAAAAAAAAAAAAAGAAAAUAAUAGUUUUUCUCCCUGCCAAUAUAGGUAAGAUUACAAAAUCUCUCUGGAUUUGACUUUGUUUCUUAAUUAAAGAGACUAAGAAAGAAGGGCAUUCAUUCUUUCUAAUCAAAACUUCUGAGUGAAAUUGAAAGAGUUGAGUCAAUUAUUUUUGAUAUAAACUGUUUUUUAGAAUGAAAGCUACUAGUUUUCUUGUUAUAUCCGUUGAAUCUGUUUUGACAAAACUAGGAAACUAUGAGGCUGUACCAGGGCCCUUUUUGGAAUGCUAAGGUGAAUACAGUUGAUAAGUACACAAGGUGCCCCCCAGUAUAAUGGGUUAUUUAAUUUUGGUCUGUAUCUGACCUGUCCAGUAUGGUGGCCAGUGGCCACAUGGAGCUAUAGACAUCUGAAAUGUGGCUGGU